RNAcentral lists this ribosomal RNA (253 nucleotides) under uncultured bacterium. Its description in RNAcentral is "partial 16S ribosomal RNA". It matches the Rfam family "Bacterial small subunit ribosomal RNA", at positions 524 to 776 of the family's 1533-position model. The record is from RNAcentral.
UACGUAGGGUGCAAGCGUUAAUCGGAAUUACUGGGCGUAAAGCGUGCGCAGGCGGCUUUGCAAGACAGAUGUGAAAUCCCCGGGCUCAACCUGGGAACCGCAUUUGUGACUGCAUCGCUGGAGUGCGGCAGAGGGGGAUGGAAUUCCGCGUGUAGCAGUGAAAUGCGUAGAUAUGCGGAGGAACACCGAUGGCGAAGGCAAUCCCCUGGGCCUGCACUGACGCUCAUGCACGAAAGCGUGGGGAGCAAACAGG